AAGAAGAUAUACAGGGACAAAUGGAAUCUGUGUUGGGAGAGGAAGGAAGUUGGUAAAGGGCUUCCAAACAUUUGCUAUAUUAGACCAUCCAUUGGUCCCCAGACCUAGUUCUUUCCCUAGGCCUGGAUUUAUAAAUACUGGUGAUAAAC
Molecule: small nucleolar RNA, 149 nt
Filed under: Tursiops truncatus (common bottlenose dolphin)
Lineage: Eukaryota; Metazoa; Chordata; Mammalia; Artiodactyla; Delphinidae
Description: Small nucleolar RNA SNORA72 (ENSTTRG00000024960.1)
Rfam family: Small nucleolar RNA SNORA72 (bases 51-149)
About the family: U72 is a member of the H/ACA class of snoRNAs. The snoRNA gene is located in intron 4 of the ribosomal L30 protein gene in human, mouse and chicken.
Source: RNAcentral